This is a long non-coding RNA of Perognathus longimembris pacificus (Pacific pocket mouse), 768 nucleotides long. RefSeq lists it as uncharacterized. The transcript has 2 exons. The record is from RefSeq and is a predicted model, not a curated record. Lineage: Eukaryota; Metazoa; Chordata; Mammalia; Rodentia; Heteromyidae.
UGACUUCUAGUAGCUCCUUUCUAUUUCAAAUUUCAGUAAAUCGCUUAGUUGUAAUAAAAUGUGCCCAUAACAAAGAGCCACAACACUUUGCAAUGGAAUAUGUCUUAGCACAAGAGUACAUUUCUGUAUAGACGAUACUAUGAACACUAAGAAAUAGGCCAAAAUGCUUAUAGCACAGUGAAUAAACUGAAGCCCCAGAAAGUUACUCAACAAGAAUUUCUCUGGCUACCACCAUGCUAGUCUGAGUAAGAGGUAUUUAGUGGUGAAUAAAACAAACAGUAGCACAAGAAGCAUACUACCUGUGCUGGACAAGUAGAGUCAAACUAUUCAAACAGAUACACAAGCCCCCAAAAAGCACAGUAUUGGCAACUGAUUACAAAAAUAGCAUUUUAAUGGAGGUAUAACUAAUGGAAAAACUAGAAAUAGUUUUCUUAGAUUAAAUUACAGUUAAAAACAGGCAAAUCAAGGCCAAGGUAAGAACAACUGAGCACCGGUCCUUAAAGAGUUCAGAUUAAGUGAUCCCAGAGGGGAAGGGCCAUUCUGAGCAGACCUCACAUGGACCAGUACUAAAGAGGAGGAGAGCAUGUAUGCAAUAAGAACUCUAUCAUAUACAACUAAAAGUGACAGCCUGGCUAGAAGCAAGAGCAUCACAAACAGAAAAAAAGAUAAGGACUGAAAUCUAGUUCAAUUCCUCAAAAAAACUUCUGCUCAAUAAAACAAACUUACAAGCAGUCUUUCAAAUAUAAAUACAGUAUGGACCCUAUAUAA